UGGAUCCAGACUUUGAUCCUGGCUCAGGACGAACGCUGGCGGCGUGCCUAACACAUGCAAGUCGAACGAGAAAUCCUUGUGUGAACCCUUCGGGGGGAACUUUAGGAUGGAAAGUGGCGGACGGGCGAGUAACGCGUGAGUAACCUGCCCAUAAGAGGGGGAUAAUCCUUGGAAACGAGGACUAAUACCGCAUAUUGAAGCGAAAUCGCAUGGUUUUGCUUUGAAAGAUUUAUCGCUUAUGGAUGGACUCGCGUCAGAUUAGCUGGUUGGUGAGGUAACGGCUCACCAAGGCGACGAUCUGUAGCCGAACUGAGAGGUUGAUCGGCCGCAUUGGGACUGAGACACGGCCCAGACUCCUACGGGAGGCAGCAGUGGGGAAUAUUGCGCAAUGGGGGAAACCCUGACGCAGCAACGCCGCGUGCAGGAAGAAGGUCUUCGGAUUGUAAACUGUUGUCGCAGGGGAAGAAGACAGUGACGGUACCCUGUGAGAAAGUCACGGCUAACUACGUGCCAGCAGCCGCGGUAAUACGUAGGUGACAAGCGUUGUCCGGAUUUACUGGGUGUAAAGGGCGCGUAGGCGGACUGUCAAGUCAGUCGUGAAAUACCGGGGCUUAACCCCGGGGCUGCGAUUGAAACUGACAGCCUUGAGUAUCGGAGAGGAAAGCGGAAUUCCUAGUGUAGCGGUGAAAUGCGUAGAUAUUAGGAGGAACACCAGUGGCGAAGGCGGCUUUCUGGACGACAACUGACGCUGAGGCGCGAAAGUGUGGGGAGCAAACAGGAUUAGAUACCCUGGUAGUCCACACCGUAAACGAUGGAUACUAGGUGUAGGAGGUAUCGACCCCUUCUGUGCCGCAGUUAACACAAUAAGUAUCCCACCUGGGGAGUACGACCGCAAGGUUGCAACUCAAAUGAAUUGACGGA
Molecule: ribosomal RNA, 921 nt
Filed under: uncultured Bacillota bacterium
Lineage: Bacteria; Bacillati; Bacillota
Description: bacterial SSU rRNA
Rfam family: Bacterial small subunit ribosomal RNA
Source: RNAcentral